AACCCGUGAUGAGGAUAUUUUCUUAGAAGAUCCUUGAAUUUUUCAUGGGCUUCAAAAAGGGUCUCAAAAUCUCCUUGUCUGAAAGCUGAAAUUUCUUGCCUCAAACU
Small nucleolar RNA from Dioscorea cayenensis subsp. rotundata (Guinea yam), 107 nucleotides. Lineage: Eukaryota; Viridiplantae; Streptophyta; Magnoliopsida; Dioscoreales; Dioscoreaceae. The record is from RefSeq and is a predicted model, not a curated record.